GUUCUGUUGUAGGUGGAGGGGAGAUGGGUUCUGUUGUAGGUGGAGGGGAGAUGGGUUCUGUUGUGUUGUAGGUGGAGGGGAGAUGGGUUCUGUUGUGUUGUAGGUGGAGGGGAGAUGGGUUCUGUUGUAGGUGGAGGGGAGAUGGGUUCUGUUGUAGGUGGAGGGGAGAUGGGUUCGGUGACAUGUGACGUCAGGACUGGUAGAUGAGGGCGGCAGAGCCAUCUAUACUCCAGAAAACGAAGCAUUUCAGAAAGUUAAUUGUCAUUCAGGAGACUGAUCAAAAGAGUUUAUUUUGCUUACAUUCUUUGGGAAGAUACAAAAAAAACUUGUUUUUUCUUUUUAAAGUUUGUAGAGAGAAUUGGUGAAGUAUACCAAUGAUGAUUAUGAUAAUGACUGCAUUUAAGAUUGUAAAAUGAACACUGUUUUCUUUGUUG
This is a long non-coding RNA of Clupea harengus (Atlantic herring), 434 nucleotides long. The record is from Ensembl. NCBI's taxonomy places the organism in Eukaryota, Metazoa, Chordata, Actinopteri, Clupeiformes, Clupeidae.